GAUGAACGCUGGCGGCGUGCCUAAUACAUGCAAGUCGAGCGAACAGACGAGGAGCUUGCUCCUCUGACGUUAGCGGCGGACGGGUGAGUAACACGUGGAUAACCUACCUAUAAGACUGGGAUAACUUCGGGAAACCGGAGCUAAUACCGGAUAAUAUAUUGAACCGCAUGGUUCAAUAGUGAAAUACGGUUUUGCUGUCACUUAUAGAUGGAUCCGCGCCGCAUUAGCUAGUUGGUAAGGUAACGGCUUACCAAGGCGACGAUGCGUAGCCGACCUGAGAGGGUGGUCGGCCACACUGGAACUGAGACACGGUCCAGACUCCUACGGGAGGCAGCAGUAGGGAAUCUUCCGCAAUGGGCGAAAGCCUGACGGAGCAACGCCGCGUGAGUGAUGAAGGUCUUCGGAUCGUAAAACUCUGUUAUUAGGGAAGAACAAAUGUGUAAGUAACUAUGCACGUCUUGACGGUACCUAAUCAGAAAGCCACGGCUAACUACGUG
Molecule: ribosomal RNA, 497 nt
Filed under: uncultured bacterium
Lineage: Bacteria
Description: partial 16S ribosomal RNA
Rfam family: Bacterial small subunit ribosomal RNA
Source: RNAcentral